AUGCAAGUCGAACGGCAGCACGGACUUCGGUCUGGUGGCGAGUGGCGAACGGGUGAGUAAUACAUCGGAACGUGCCCAGUCGUGGGGGAUAACGUAGCGAAAGCUACGCUAAUACCGCAUACGAUCUACGGAUGAAAGCGGGGGAUCGCAAGACCUCGCGCGAUUGGAGCGGCCGAUGGCAGAUUAGGUAGUUGGUGGGGUAAAGGCUCACCAAGCCGACGAUCUGUAGCUGGUCUGAGAGGACGACCAGCCACACUGGGACUGAGACACGGCCCAGACUCCUACGGGAGGCAGCAGUGGGGAAUUUUGGACAAUGGGCGCAAGCCUGAUCCAGCCAUUCCGCGUGCAGGAUGAAGGCCCUCGGGUUGUAAACUGCUUUUGUACGGAACGAAAAGGCUCUGGUUAAUACCUGGGGCUCAUGACGGUACCGUAAGAAUAAGCACCGGCUAACUACGUGCCAGCAGCCGCGGUAAUACGUAGGGUGCAAGCGUUAAUCGGAAUUACUGGGCGUAAAGCGUGCGCAGGCGGUGAUGUAAGACAGAGGUGAAAUCCCCGGGCUCAACCUGGGAACUGCCUUUGUGACUGCAUCGCUGGAGUACGGCAGAGGGGGAUGGAAUUCCGCGUGUAGCAGUGAAAUGCGUAGAUAUGCGGAGGAACACCGAUGGCGAAGGCAAUCCCCUGGGCCUGUACUGACGCUCAU
Molecule: ribosomal RNA, 700 nt
Filed under: uncultured bacterium
Lineage: Bacteria
Description: bacterial SSU rRNA
Rfam family: Bacterial small subunit ribosomal RNA
Source: RNAcentral